Molecule: transfer RNA, 87 nt
Filed under: Candidatus Doudnabacteria bacterium RIFCSPHIGHO2_01_48_18
Lineage: Bacteria; Candidatus Doudnaibacteriota
Also listed under: 6 other names
Description: tRNA-Leu
Rfam family: tRNA
About the family: Transfer RNA (tRNA) molecules are approximately 80 nucleotides in length. Their secondary structure includes four short double-helical elements and three loops (D, anti-codon, and T loops).
Source: RNAcentral
GGGCACGUGGCGGAACUGGCAUACGCGUACGCUUCAGGAGCGUAUGGGAGCAAUCCCGUGGAGGUUCAAGUCCUCUCGUGCCCACCA